GUAAAAAAAACUUCGCAUCUCAUCCACACACCGAACAGCCCCCGUCGAUGGCGCUCUAGGCUCGCCCGCCGCCACCCUGUCGCCGGCCCUGUUGCUCCCCCGCCCUGUCGCCGGCCGCGUCACUCCCCCGCCCCGUCGCCGUCGCUCCCCCGCCCCGUCGCCGUUGCUCCCCCGCCCCGUCGCCGACCCUCUCCCGCCACCCUAUCGCCGGCCCCGUCGCUCCCUCUACUGCAAGAGAUCCGGCCACCCCGACCCGUCCCUACAAGACCAGCACCGCGGCUCCAUACCUCGCUGCCUCCAAGGAUGACGAGGAGGACGAGAUCCCUUUCCCACGUGCUAGGCCGCCCGUCACCAUCGGAAGUUCACAACAACGACGGAUGUCCAUGUGGAUGAUCUACUCCUAGCAGCGCCCCUGUUCUGUAACAUCUUUUGACCCAUAUUGAGAGAGGUGUCCUUUAUUAUAGUACUCAACUGCAAUUCCAAGAAGCAGCUAUCUAAGGCAGGUGAGGAUGAAUGAAGGAUUUGGCCAGGAACUCAAUCAGACCAUUGGAUUGAAGCUGAAGGGGACAAUGCAAAGAUAUGAAGGGAUGGCCUUUCGUUCAGAACCUGGUCUUUUGUUUGAAAGGGUCUAGCUUUUACUGUGGACUAAUUAUCAUGAUCUUAUUUUGGAGUGAUGGAUUAUUACAGAUAUUAGUGGUCGAAUUCGGUGGCGUCGGAUGCUGGCAGGUCACGGGGUUAGAGCAAAGGAACUUGACGCGGUGUUCUAAACUCAGGCGGUCAUGGUCAUUGACUAGGUGUUGAAGGGCUUGGUGGCAAUUCUCACGGAGUAAGAAUAUGCGUGCAAGCGCUCAUUUCUCAUAUGCCUGCCCACUCCUCCCUUUCAUGAAGCUUUCUUUUAUUUCUCAAAAAUUUCUCUGAAUUUGCAAUGUGUAGCUCUGACAAAGAAAUAAGAGGAAUAAGUUAUGGCAAGGUUUUGGUGAAGAGCAUUAUUUCCCUAGCUUGUGAAAAUUUUGGUCCUCUGACAUUGAUUUCAUGAUUUGUGGUUACUGGUAAAUAUAUGACGUUGGUAAUUGAUCUCUUUGUGAUUGUUUGUGCGUCUGGUAUGCUAUUUCAGUUUAGAUUCUUCACCAUCAUUAAAGUUCCAUGGAUCAUUCAGCCUUAGUUUCUUCAAACCAGCCUUGCAAUCUCCAUGUUUCUUUUGAAAAUUGAACCACAUUACCAUUUCUUCUUCUGAAAAUUUUAUACUCAAGAUUACAAAUUUGGUAGGUAACAGUUCAACUCUAACUAUAUGUGUACCAUACCUACUGACUAAUAGCAGAGUCUAAUUCUUCCCAAGCAGUGGCUGUCAAUGUAGACUUGACAUGCAUAGUUUUACUUCGCGAAGCCAUUUUCUGAAUUUUUGGAAGUUGGUUGCACACCAUGAACUUCAGUUUUGUUAUAUUUUGGCAGCUAGUCCCUUCAGCUAUAUGAAUCCCUCAAGAAAAGUCCACGUAGCCAUAGACUCACAACUCAUAAUCAUUCAUAUGUGUUCUACAUAUUAGUUAGCGUUUCCUCUUUUUGUAUUUGGCAGACUGCCAGUAUGUAUGUACAUUUUGUAUGUGUUGACCAUGGACAGUUAGAUACCAAGGAUGUGUUUGGAUGUGAGGCAAGGGGCAGCUCUAGCUUAGCUAUGCAAGGUUAUCCAUUUGGUAAUCAAAGUAAAACUAGCUUCUGGAAGCAAUCUAGCCCUCAACUGCCAAGAAAACCUUGCUGAUGGAAGUUAGCCGAAUUGGCUCUCCCACACUAGCAAAAUUAGCCAUUAUCCAAAUAACUAGCCUUGCUUCUAGCGGCUCUUGCUGGAGCGGGCUAGAUAAUUCUAGCCCAGCUAAGCUAGGUGAGAUAGCUAUCCAAACACACCCGUAGUUUUAUUUUUGCAUUUGUGUAUUUUUUUUAUGCAUUUGUGUAUUUCUGAAUGCUUGAGUGCACAAAUAUGUAUAUUUUUUUGCAACUAUCACAAGGAAUGUUUUGUAGCUAUCCAAACGCACCCGCAGUUUUAUUUUUGCAUUUGUGUAUUUUUUUAUGCAUUUGUGUAUUUCUGGAUGCUUGAAUGCACAAAUAUGUAUUUCAUGGCACAAUUACCAGUUUUGUGUGCCAAUUUUCUGCAUUCCACUAUGCAAAGGUGCAUUAUAUCUCUCUACAUGAUGCAAGAUGCUUAUGCUUAUAUAGGCGGUGGCAUCUUAUGGGAAGGGAGCGGAGAAAGGGGAAUGAGGUGUUGUCGAGUGGGCGGGGUCUUUCUGCAGUCGCCUUAAGUUCCACAUCUACACACCAGUCGCCAUGGCUUGGUAGGGCCAAGUCAAAGAGGGAGUAAAAGAUUAAACUAGGAAGAGUUUAAGCCAGGCAAAACUGAAAUCGUAAUUCGCCAUAAUCUCUAUUCAGUUAAAUGACGAAGAGGACCCUCUUCGACCAUUCAGCCGCGAUGAAAAAAGUCAGGAUCCCAAGAAAAGUGCUUCUAGACACUAUGAUGGAGAAGCUUGGCCUUCCGAACGCAGUAUACUCAACACAGAAGGCAAGGACUGUUGGUCUUGAACACAGAAG
Triticum aestivum (bread wheat) is the source of this 2574-nucleotide long non-coding RNA. RefSeq lists it as uncharacterized. The record is from RefSeq and is a predicted model, not a curated record. The transcript is spliced from 8 exons. NCBI's taxonomy places the organism in Eukaryota, Viridiplantae, Streptophyta, Magnoliopsida, Poales, Poaceae.